AAAUUGAACAAGAGCCUCAGAAUUCUAAUCCUGUGUCUGUCUUGUUUUGUAGGGUCAUUUUUCCAGUGCAACACUCACAUCAUCCCGGUGAAGAACGAAGAGGGAGUGGUGAUGAUGUUCAUCCUGAAUUUUGAUUACGUGUUGGACGAGGACAGCAGCAGCUCUACGGAGAGACUGAACCUCACGCCGCCCGCCAAAGCUGAAAUCAGAAAAGGCCGGUUCUUCCGUCUGCGUCUGCCCUCACUGAAGCUCCUGGGGGUCAGUAAACAGUCUCUCCCUCAGGACGACCCAGACUCAGUCAUGGUGGACUCACCCAGAGCCAGCGACCAGAGUGAUGACUCUGCGGCAGUGAUGGAUGUCCCGUCGCCUACCCAGCAUGUCUGCAGUCCAGCCGAUGCCAACGACACGCGGGCGCUGAUCCGCUCCAGCAGCCAAUCAUCUCCGGUCAGCGUUCCUCUGGACCACUCAUCCCCCAGACAGACGUGGCAUCGGCCCGGAGCAGCUCAGACUCAGUCCAGCAGCUGUCUGGCGCAGGCCGUGUCCAGAGACAGUGUGUGCAGCCGCAGACGAGCCUCCUCCGUCCACGACAUCGAAGGGUUGAGCGCAAACCACAAACGCCUCUACACAGACAGACACACCAGUGAAGGUGAGUGAGCCAUCACAACAUAGGUCUCAAACUUGAUGCCUGGAGGGCUGCAACUAUGCACA
RNAcentral lists this long non-coding RNA (708 nucleotides) under Danio rerio (zebrafish). RNAcentral describes it as "lncRNA (ENSDARG00000117488.1)". The record is from RNAcentral. Lineage: Eukaryota; Metazoa; Chordata; Actinopteri; Cypriniformes; Danionidae.